GUAGGUGGCAAGCGCUGUCCGGAAUUAUUGGGCGUAAAGCGCGCGCAGGUGGUUCUUUAAGUCUGAUGUGAAAGCCCCCGGCUCAACCGGGGAGGGUCAUUGGAAACUGGGGAACUUGAGUGCAGGAGAGGAAAGUGGAAUUCCACGUGUAGCGGUGAAAUGCGUAGAUAUGUGGAGGAACACCAGUGGCGAAGGCGACUUUCUGGCCUGUAACUGACACUGAGGCGCGAAAGCGUGGGGAGCAAACAGGGAUUAGAUACCCUGGUAGUCCACGCCGUAAACGAUGAGUGCUAAGUGUUGGGGGGGUUUCCGCCCCCUCAGUGCUGCAGCUAACGCAUUAAGCACUCCGCCUGGGAGUACGGUCGCAAGACUG
RNAcentral lists this ribosomal RNA (373 nucleotides) under uncultured organism. RNAcentral describes it as "partial 16S ribosomal RNA". It matches the Rfam family "Bacterial small subunit ribosomal RNA", at positions 527 to 896 of the family's 1533-position model. The record is from RNAcentral.